RNAcentral lists this ribosomal RNA (456 nucleotides) under uncultured soil bacterium. Its description in RNAcentral is "bacterial SSU rRNA". It matches the Rfam family "Bacterial small subunit ribosomal RNA", at positions 26 to 472 of the family's 1533-position model. The record is from RNAcentral.
AGAGUGAACGCUGGCGGCAGGCCUAACACAUGCAAGUCGAACGGCAGCGCAGCCCCGCAAGGGGUGGGCGGCGAGUGGCGGACGGGUGAGGAAUACAUCGGAAUCUACCCUGUCGUGGGGGAUAACGUAGGGAAACUUACGCUAAUACCGCAUACGACCCACGGGUGAAAGCGGCGGACCGCAAGGCGUCGCGCGACUGGAUGAGCCGAUGUCCGAUUAGCUAGUUGGCGGGUAAAGCCCACAAGGCGACGAUCGGUAGCUGGUCUGAGAGGAUGAUCAGCCACACUGGAACUGAGACACGGUCCAGACUCCGUACGGGAGGCAGCAGUGGGGAAUAUUGGACAAUGGGCGCAAGCCUGAUCCGAGCCAUGCCGCGUGGUGUGAAGGAGGCCGUUUCGGUUAGUAAAGCGUACUUUGUACCGGUAAAGAAAAGCGACUUAGGUAACUACCCGUGGU